CCUACGGGAGGCAGCAGUGAGGAAUAUUGGUCAAUGGACGAGAGUCUGAACCAGCCAAGUAGCGUGAAGGAUGACUGCCCUAUGGGUUGUAAACUUCUUUUAUAUGGGAAUAAAAUGUUCCACGUGUGGGAUUUUGUAUGUACCAUAUGAAUAAGGAUCGGCUAAAUCCGUGCCAGCAGCCGCGGUAAUACGGAGGAUCCGAGCGUUCUCCGGAUUUAUUUGGUUUAAAGGGAGGGGAAGUGGAGUGUUAAGUCAGUUGUGAAAGUUUGCGGCUCAACCGUAAAAUUGCAGUUGAAACUGGCUGUCUUGAGUACAGUAGAGGUGGGCGGAAUUCGUGGUGUAGCGGUGAAAUGCUUAGAUAUCACGAAGAACUCCGAUUGCGAAGGCAGUUCACUGGACUGCAACUGACACUGAGGCUCGAAAGUGUGGGUAUCAAACAGGAUUAGAUACCCGGGUAGUC
Molecule: ribosomal RNA, 460 nt
Filed under: uncultured bacterium
Lineage: Bacteria
Description: partial 16S ribosomal RNA
Rfam family: Bacterial small subunit ribosomal RNA
Source: RNAcentral